GACGGGUGUUGUGGUGCACACCUGUAAUCCCAGCAGCUCAGGAGGCUGAGGCAGGAGGAUCACGAGUUCAAAGCCAGCCUCAGCAAAAGCGAGAUGCUAAGCAACUCAGGGAGACCCUGUCUCUA
Molecule: small RNA, 125 nt
Filed under: Marmota monax (woodchuck)
Lineage: Eukaryota; Metazoa; Chordata; Mammalia; Rodentia; Sciuridae
Source: RNAcentral